Molecule: ribosomal RNA, 501 nt
Filed under: uncultured bacterium
Lineage: Bacteria
Description: bacterial SSU rRNA
Rfam family: Bacterial small subunit ribosomal RNA
Source: RNAcentral
CUCAGAACGAACGCGUGGCGGCGCGUUUAAGCAUGCAAGUCGAGCGGUAGUAGCAAUACGAGAGCGGCGGACGGGUGAGUAACACGUGGGUAAUCUGCCCUUCGGUCGGGAAUAGCCUGUAGGAAACACAGGAUAAUACCGGAUGCGAUGGUCUUCACACAAGUGGAGGUCAGGAAAGGAGCCAAGGCUCCGCCGGAGGAUGAGCCCGCGUCCCAUUAGCUAGAUGGUGAGGUAAAGGCCCACCAUGGCGAUGAUGGGUAGCCGGCCUGAGAGGGUGAACGGCCACAUUGGAACUGAGACACGGUCCAGACUCCUACGGGAGGCAGCAGCUAAGAAUCUUCCACAAUGGACGAAAGUCUGAUGGAGCGACGCCGCGUGGGCGAUGAAAGGCCGUGAGGUUGUAAAGCCCUUUUCUUGAGGGGGAAUAAUGCGGGCAGGGAAUGGCCUGCAGAUGACGUGAAUCAAGGAAUAAGCCCCGGCUAACUACGUGCCAGCCGCUGC